Long non-coding RNA from Sus scrofa (pig), 553 nucleotides. RefSeq lists it as uncharacterized. The record is from RefSeq and is a predicted model, not a curated record. NCBI's taxonomy places the organism in Eukaryota, Metazoa, Chordata, Mammalia, Artiodactyla, Suidae.
CCACGCUCCACGCCCUAUGCUAAAUGCUAGGACCCUGAAAGAGGUCCCCUGGGGCUCCAGGGUAGAAAUGGCAGGCUCUUGCAACACAAUUAGAAAAAAGCUCUGCUGUUAGAGAGAGGCUGUCACGUGCUGCCACAUAGUCCUCCCUGCAUGGAGGUGAUUGUGCCCUUGGGAGCCAGGAAAUGCCUCCAACAACAGGCGAGCUGGAUAGGCCCUUUGAGAGGUAGUCCAGCUCCCUCACUGUACAGAGAAGGAAGCCAUGGACCUGAAGUAUAGAAAAGAUAAACUGCAAAUCAAGACUACACGUGGUGACUUGCUUGGGGAAAGUCAUGUCUUGAGCCGAUCCAUGGAGAGGCCCACAUGGCAAGGAAAUGAAGCCUCCUGCCAGCAGCCACUGGAGUGAACCUGAAAUGGAUUCUCCAGCCCUAGUUUUGUCUUCAGAGGCUACAGCCCUGGCCAACAGCUUGGCCCCAUGAAAGGCCCAGAGCUGGAACAAGCCAUUCCCAAGUCCUGACUCUCAAUAUAUAGAUAAUAAAUGCUUGUCUAAAGCUAC